AGGACAAACGCUGGCGGAAUGUAUUAGGCAUGCAAGUCGUACGAACCUUCGGGUUAGUGGCGAACGGGUGAGUAACACGUGGGUAACCUGCCUCGUAGUGGGGAAUAACUCGCCGAAAGGCGAGCUAAUACCGCAUAACACCUCUGGUGAGAUUCCAGAUGGUAAAAGCUCCGGCGCUACGAGAGGGGCCCGCGGUCGAUUAGCUAGUUGGUGGGUAACGGCCUACCAAGGCGACGAUCGAUAGCUGGUCUGAGAGGAUGGUCAGCCACACGGGGGACUGAGAUACGGCCCCGACUCCUACGGGAGGCAGCAGCUAAGAAUCUUGCGCAAUGGGCGAAAGCCUGACGCAGCAAUUCCGCGUGGGGACGAAGGCUUCGGGUCGUAAACCCCUUUUGCGAGGGAAGAAGUACUGGACGGUACCUCGCGAAUAAGACACGGCUAACUACGUGCCAGCAGCCGC
This 460-nucleotide ribosomal RNA is filed under the name uncultured soil bacterium. RNAcentral's name for it is "bacterial SSU rRNA". It matches the Rfam family "Bacterial small subunit ribosomal RNA", at positions 26 to 518 of the family's 1533-position model. The record is from RNAcentral.